AUGGCAUCGUCCGGAACGCAAGGAUUCAUCGGAACCUGCGAUGGCGACUCACAACCACUCUUUCUAUACGUUUCUUCCUACACCCGCAUAUGGAACGCGGUGAGAUGUUGGCUGGAUGCGCCUGAGCUGGACACUGCCGCUUGGACAGGGAUCCCAACGGUCCAGGAGUGGUGGGCUACGACUGUGCUCGAGCGUGGGCACCGGAGAAAAGCCAUAUCCUCACUUAUAUCGCUUGUAUCCUCGGAGGUUUGGAAAGAGAGAAAUGUGUUGGUGUUCCAGAAGAAAUCUUCUAUGCCAACAACUGUGUUCGCGGGCAUCAAAGUAGAGGCCAAAAAUUGGGGCUUGGCCGGGGCUAAACAUUUGGGAUCAUUGAUGGCGCGAGAGUAG
Molecule: ribosomal RNA, 387 nt
Filed under: Triticum aestivum (bread wheat)
Lineage: Eukaryota; Viridiplantae; Streptophyta; Magnoliopsida; Poales; Poaceae
Description: partial small subunit ribosomal RNA
Source: RNAcentral